RNAcentral lists this ribosomal RNA (497 nucleotides) under uncultured bacterium. RNAcentral's name for it is "partial 16S ribosomal RNA". It matches the Rfam family "Bacterial small subunit ribosomal RNA", at positions 28 to 507 of the family's 1533-position model. The record is from RNAcentral.
GAUGAACGCUGGCGGCGUGCCUAAUACAUGCAAGUCGAGCGAACGGACGAGAAGCUUGCUUCUCUGAUGUUAGCGGCGGACGGGUGAGUAACACGUGGAUAACCUACCUAUAAGACUGGGAUAACUUCGGGAAACCGGAGCUAAUACCGGAUAAUAUUUUGAACCGCAUGGUUCAAUAGUGAAAGACGGUCUUGCUGUCACUUAUAGAUGGAUCCGCGCUGCAUUAGCUAGUUGGUAAGGUAACGGCUUACCAAGGCAACGAUGCCUAGCCGACCUGAGAGGGGUGUCCGCCCCCCUUGGACCGAAACCCCGGCCCAACUCCCAGCGGGAGGCGCCGGAAGGAAUUUUCCCGCAUUGGGCGAAGCCUGACGGAACAACGCCCGCGUGAGUGUUGAGGUCUUCCGAUCCUUAAACUCUGUUAUUAGGGAAAAACAAAAUUUUUAGUAACUUUGCACAUCUUGACCGUACCUAAACAAAAAGGCCCGGCUAACUUCCUU